AUAGCACUAAAUGCUCUUACUAUGGGAGUGUAAAGCAUACCCGUGAGACCUUCUUCAAGCUUCACGCGUAUCUUGAUUGGUGGCACGAACUCCAAGCUCAGAAGCGCCGUGAUGGUGGUGGGAAUAACAUUGGCAGGGUUAUAGUUGUUGCAGCAAAACCACACAUUCCCCUCAUUCCAGUCGAUAGUUUAAACUCUAACCCAGGUAAUUCUCUAAUUGGGAGGUUGAUUGAAAUGCUUGGAUACUUGAUUUUGGAGUAACGGAUCAUAU
Molecule: long non-coding RNA, 270 nt
Filed under: Panax ginseng (ginseng)
Lineage: Eukaryota; Viridiplantae; Streptophyta; Magnoliopsida; Apiales; Araliaceae
Description: long non-coding RNA (PGIN_LNC014671)
Source: RNAcentral